This 253-nucleotide ribosomal RNA is filed under the name uncultured bacterium. Its description in RNAcentral is "partial 16S ribosomal RNA". It matches the Rfam family "Bacterial small subunit ribosomal RNA", at positions 524 to 776 of the family's 1533-position model. The record is from RNAcentral.
UACGGGGGGGGUAAGCGUUGUUCGGAAUUACUGGGCGUAAAGGGCUCGUAGGCGGCCAACUAAGUCAGACGUGAAAUCCCUCAGCUUAACUGGGGAACUGCGUCUGAUACUGGAUGGCUUGGAUUCGGGAGAGGAAUGCGGAAUUCCAGGUGUAGCGGUGAAAUGCGUAGAUAUCAGGAGGAACACCGGUGGCGAAGGCGGGUCCCUGGGCUAACACUGACGCUGAGGCGCGAAAGCGUGGGGAGCGAACGGG